This 427-nucleotide ribosomal RNA is filed under the name uncultured bacterium. RNAcentral's name for it is "bacterial SSU rRNA". It matches the Rfam family "Bacterial small subunit ribosomal RNA", at positions 355 to 775 of the family's 1533-position model. The record is from RNAcentral.
UCGAGAAUUUUUCACAAUGGGCGCAAGCCUGAUGGAGCGACGCCGCGUGGGGGAUGAAGGGCUUCGGUCCGUAAACCCCUGUCAUUUGCGAACAAAUCUCAUCCGAUAACACCGGAUGGGUUGAUUGUAGCGAAAGAGGAAGGGACGGCUAACUCUGUGCCAGCAGCCGCGGUAAUACAGAGGUCCCGAGCGUUGUUCGGAUUCACUGGGCGUAAAGGGUGCGUAGGUGGUUCUGCCAGUCUGAUGUGAAAUCUCCGGGCUUAACCCGGAAAUGGCAUUGGAAACUGCAGGGCUAGAGUGUUGGAGGGGGGACUGGAAUUCUCGGUGUAGCAGUGAAAUGCGUAGAUAUCGAGAGGAACACCAGUGGCGAAGGCGAGUCCCUGGACAACCACUGACACUGAGGCACGAAAGCUAGGGGAGCAAACAG